Molecule: ribosomal RNA, 255 nt
Filed under: uncultured bacterium
Lineage: Bacteria
Description: partial small subunit ribosomal RNA
Rfam family: Bacterial small subunit ribosomal RNA
Source: RNAcentral
AGAAUCAACGCUGGCGGCGUGCCUAACACAUGCAAGUCGAACGGGAAAGUGGAGCAAUCCAUGAGUAUAGUGGCGACCGGGUGAGUAACACGUGACUAACCUACCCUUGAGUGGGGGAUAACCUCGGGAAACCGGGCUAAUACCGCAUAACAUCUUCGGGAUGAGAAGCUGAAGAUCAAAGGAGCAAUUCGCUUUCGGAGGGGUCGCGGCUGAUUAGCUAGUUGGCGGGUAACGCCCACAAGGCUUUGAUCGGUA